Maylandia zebra (zebra mbuna) is the source of this 1618-nucleotide non-coding RNA. NCBI's taxonomy places the organism in Eukaryota, Metazoa, Chordata, Actinopteri, Cichliformes, Cichlidae. The record is from RefSeq and is a predicted model, not a curated record.
UAACCCAUGGCAUCCUCACCCCUUCCUGUUACGUGUUGCAUGUUGUCCAUUGUUUAUUUACCUCUCACCAGUCGGCAGCGUCCGCCAUGUUUGUCUGUGCUAAAUGUCAUCUGCGGUGUGCUCAACAGCUAUUUGGUCAACAGGCUCUAGAAGAAAACAGAAUCAAACUUACGUGAACACAAUCUCCGAAACCAGCCUUUCCUGCGAGCGGACGCGUUGAUCCGGAGCGGUUGGAAGAGACCCUAAACCACUUAUUCGUCACUUAUCCCUCCCUAUUGUAACCCUUCCCUUUGUCCCAGUGGCGCAUCUCAACCCUGAGGCUGCAGAUCACAAAGACUGAAAAGCGAGGACAGGACAAAGCCCUUGUUUUAGCCCGGUAAUUUAUUUAUUUAUGGAUGCCCUUUUACAACCACUUUAAAUGAGCAGGCAUGAUUACAGAAGCACAACGCGCUACUACUCCUUCGUCACCGCGAGCAGAAGGCUUUCCCUGCUCUGUCGGCACUGACCUUUGGGAGGAUGACCAGAGCACAGGUGAGGCCAUCUGAGGACUGGAGGAGGAAUUGUGCUUUCACUAACAAGUGCCUGCUAGCAUGUGGAUCUUAAUGUGGACAUUCCUAAAACCCAUUAAUAUCCGAAGGUUACGCAGUCAUAGCAGGAUUUAAACUGGGAGGCAGCCAAGAUAAAUUGCCGACUCUUCUGCUGCUGCUGGGACGCCUGCCUUUAAGACACCUGCAAAAGCCUCCUGCAAAUAACAGAGGAGGUGCGAUGUUAUAACAGACAUUCGUGGACUGUUUCGCAGCGUUACGCCAAGUCUUCGAGACGCCUUCAAUCAGACUUAAUAUUGUUUAUUUUGAUUGUAUCUGGGAGCAAAGACCAUCACUGUACUGGUUGUUCUUGUCAAGCUAGACAAACCAAAUUACUCCAAAGUUUGAUGUUCCGCUUAAGAAGUGCCUUUUUGUGUUAUUUCUCGUCAGUCAGCCAUAAUUUGUUUAUUUUACAUCUUUCAUUUGGUAAAGAUUGUAUUUUUUACCGCCUUGUAAUAUAACAUUAGCCUUAUAAUCCUGACAACAAUAUGCAAGUUGAAGGCACAAAAAAAGCUUAAAGGUAUGUUAGUUCCUUUUUACCUCUAGUACAUCAGAACAGCUGACACGAGAGUCCCCAGAGUUUUGUGCCUUGACCAAGUGGUGGUUAAAAACAGAAUAUUACGUGCCUUGAUAACACUUCCUGUCACACCGUGCGUGACAGUUAGGAGGUGACAGACGCAUGAAGGAGACUCCAGGUGGACUACUGUUUCAAAGGCACACUUGCUGUUUGGUUAGCCUGCUCUAAAUGUAUUAACAGAUGAAGGAUGAAGUGCAUUUAAAGCUUCUUUUUCUUAUCCGUUUUAAUACAGAUUAUUCCUCCUAACAGCUUUAGAGACUUGCAUGACAUUGGCACAAAGGGAGCAAUACAUCUUAACACUACUUAAAUUUGGCUCAAGAUUGUAUAAAACACUAUUCUUGUGUGUACUGAAAUCAAAAGAAACAUACUUUUUUUUUUUAAGAAAAAGCUAUUCUUGGGAUUGUCUGUUGACUGAAAGACAACACUUCCUGUUUAAUAAAUAUGAUGAUUUAUGUAA